Molecule: ribosomal RNA, 863 nt
Filed under: Flavobacterium haoranii
Lineage: Bacteria; Pseudomonadati; Bacteroidota; Flavobacteriia; Flavobacteriales; Flavobacteriaceae
Description: bacterial SSU rRNA
Rfam family: Bacterial small subunit ribosomal RNA
Source: RNAcentral
CAGUCGAACGGUAACAGGGAUUGCUUGCAAUCCGCUGACGAGUGGCGCACGGGUGCGUAACGCGUAUGCAAUCUACCUUUUACAGAGGGAUAGCCCAGAGAAAUUUGGAUUAAUAUCUCAUAGUAUUAUUUUGCGGCAUCGUAUAAUAAUUAAAGAUUUAUCGGUAAGAGAUGAGCAUGCGUUCUAUUAGCUAGUAGGUGUGGUAACGGCACACCUAGGCGACGAUAGAUAGGGGUCCUGAGAGGGAGAUCCCCCACACUGGUACUGAGACACGGACCAGACUCCUACGGGAGGCAGCAGUGAGGAAUAUUGGUCAAUGGACGCAAGUCUGAACCAGCCAUGCCGCGUGCAGGAAGACUGCCCUAUGGGUUGUAAACUGCUUUUAAACGGGAAGAAACCCCCCAACGUGUUGGGGGCUGACGGUACCGUAAGAAUAAGGAUCGGCUAACUCCGUGCCAGCAGCCGCGGUAAUACGGAGGAUCCGAGCGUUAUCCGGAAUCAUUGGGUUUAAAGGGUCCGUAGGCGGCUAUAUAAGUCAGUGGUGAAAUCUGUUAGCUCAACUAACAAAUUGCCAUUGAUACUGUAUAGCUUGAAUAAUUGUGAAGUAGCUAGAAUAUGUAGUGUAGCGGUGAAAUGCUUAGAUAUUACAUGGAAUACCAAUUGCGAAGGCAGGUUACUAACAAUUUAUUGACGCUGAUGGACGAAAGCGUGGGGAGCGAACAGGAUUAGAUACCCUGGUAGUCCACGCCGUAAACGAUGGAUACUAGCUGUUUGUUGCACAUUGGUGUGAUGAGUGGCUAAGCGAAAGUGAUAAGUAUCCCACCUGGGGAGUACGCACGCAAGUGUGAAACUCAAAGGAAUUG